CAAGAUCUUUGUCUGGGAAUUACAAACCAGUCCACCAGCUAUGAUUGCAAGGUUGAUCUCCAUUCAUGCACCACUACCUAGUUUCUGAUCCUUCUCAUUUAUGGUUUGGAUUUCAAGUGUUUGUGCUUCAUUUUUACAGGUUAUCUCAUGUCCAAUCUAAGUCUCCAAUUAGACAGACUGCCAUGUCUUUUGAUGGGAGGUUAAUAUCCAAGAACACUUUAAUUGCUUCUUCUGUAUGUUCUUUCGCAAUCUGUGCAUUAAUUAAUCAAUGUCUUUUUUCUUCAGCACCAUACUUAGCUGCUGUGAAGAUGGGACUAUAUGGCGCUGGGAUGUGGUAGCAACUUCUUGAGCUUUUCAUUAGGGUUUUGAGCAGGACAUCUGUCUUAAUGUUUCAAUUCACAGCAGCUGCCAAAGACAUUUGACAGUGAUGAGAGACUUUUAUUGAAUAUGGUACUUGAAGGAUCGUUUGAGCAGGACACCUGUCUUAAUGUUUCAAUUAGCAGCAGCUGCCAAAGACAUUUGACAGUGAUGGGAGACUUUUAUUGAAUAUGGUACUUGAAGGAUCCAGAACAUAUCUAACAUGCAAGCAAACCUGCCAAAUGCUACUUUAGUUUAUCUCUAACCUCUUUCUUGUGAAACUAAUUUAAUGUACUAGUGAAUUAACUUGUACUUUUACUGCUGAAGAUGCAUGUAGUUGUUAAUUUUUGUAGUGGCAAAACUUCAGUGUUGCCUUGAAUGGAAAGUUCUGGGUUUUGUUUGCUAAUUAGGUGAUACUAGUCUUACCUUGUCUGAAUUGGCACUCUCUUCUGAUAGACUUUUUCCAGUUUUUCACUCUGACGUGUUGCUAAAAGAAAUUUUAGAAGUCGCAUCUAAGUUGGC
This 879-nucleotide long non-coding RNA is filed under the name Nicotiana benthamiana. Its description in RNAcentral is "long non-coding RNA (NBEN_LNC008057)". The record is from RNAcentral. Lineage: Eukaryota; Viridiplantae; Streptophyta; Magnoliopsida; Solanales; Solanaceae.